This 111-nucleotide ribosomal RNA is filed under the name Cyclobacteriaceae bacterium. The record is from RNAcentral. Lineage: Bacteria; Pseudomonadati; Bacteroidota; Cytophagia; Cytophagales; Cyclobacteriaceae.
UAAGGUGACUAUAGCGGUGGGGAUCACCUCUUCCCAUUCCGAACAGAGCAGUUAAGACCACCCGCGCUGAUGGUACUAGGGUAAAACCGGGAGAGUAAGUCGUUGCCUAUC